GGUCAGAACUAUAGAGUGCUCAACCCUCAUUCCUCUCUGCCCCAUGUCACCUUCACAGAACAUCUGGAUGUUUCCAGGUUCUGCUGAGACUUCAAAGAGCUGACCAUGCAGCCUAGGGAGUGGGCAGCCAGAUCCAUGAGGCCGGAAGUAGAUGCUAUGAGUCGGUAUGUUCAUACAUCUAAUGAGACAGGCACUACCUUGCUCAGAGUGAGGGACUGGGCAGGCUCCAUGAUGUGGUCUCUCUGUGGAUGUGGAACCUGGACAGGUCAUACUUCCACCCUGCUCUAGAACCACAAGCUCAGCACUGGCCUUCACAGGCCGGCAGUUUUUUCAUCAGAAAAUGGGGAGAACCCAGCUACUUGGGAGGCUGAGACAGGAGAAUCACAAGUUUCAGACUAGCCUGGGCAACUUAGUGUCAUCCUAUCUCCAAUUAAAAAUUGUUGCUGAGUGUGGUUGCUCAUCCCUAUAAUCCUAUCACUCCAGGAGGCUGAGGCAGGAGGAUUACAAGUUUGACCCCCUUCUAGGCAAAUUCAUCGACUCAGCCAGAUCCUGCCUCAAAAUAAACAUAAUUAAAAAGUAUUGGGCUGGGAAUGUAACUCAGUGACAGAGCAUUUAUUUAGCAUGCAUGGGACCCUGGGUUCAAUCCCCACUACAGCCAAAAAAGAAAAAGAAAAAAGUGAUGAAUGUAAAUGUAUUGUAUACCUAAAAUGUACCAAUGAAAGAAUUUGAGUGAAAAAAAAAGAAAAAGAAGAAAAGCGAAGAGGGGGAGUGGGCAAGUCUGGACUCCACCAGGCCUGGCACUCUGCAUUCCUCUGUCCCGUGAUUCUCACCAAGCACCCUGCCUCCUUCUUCACUCGGUUGCUUUUCUGGAACUCCCCAGCACCAGAGUAAUAAAGUCUGAACCCAAACGGAGGAGACACUGGUGGAAUUUCAGUACUGGAUUGGAACACAGACUUGACCAGUGAGGUCAUUUUAAUCCCCAUAGGAUUUGCAAAGAGAUGACAUCACUCCUGCGUCUCCUGAGAGAGCACGAGGCUUCCUAGGAGGUGCAAGCCUGGGCCUGGCCUCUGAGCAGCUCUAAAACCCCAGUCCCGCCCACUCAUUUCAACUUUACCGCCUCUGCCGCAGGGCAGGACAGGGCUGGGCAAUCCUCCUGCCCUUUCUCCAGCUCCUCUACCCAGACCAGGGCUGAGCUGGCAAUUUCUGCUGUGCCAGGCCUGGUUGCACCUGUCAAAACAGAGCCACGGGACAGGAGUGGGGAGCUGAAAAACAGGGUCUGACCACACUGGACUUUCCAGCAGGGCUGGCCUGGGCUGGGCUGGCCAUUCCCAAAAGCCUCGCCCAGCCCGCUGAGCAGCCUUCCUGGGGCAGCUUGACCUGCAGAAGCACUGGGCAUCGUUUUCCUUUUUCACCUGUCCAGCCCUUCGGAUUUCUGCGUGCCUGCCGUGGUAGGAAGUGUUCACAGGCUUGUCCAGGGCUUUCAGCAGGGACUGCCUGCUGGGGUGCAACCACCCAGGACCCCAGAAAAGUAGAGCUUGUGCACCUUCACUCUGGACCCAGUGAUUCCAAAUUGC
Molecule: long non-coding RNA, 1574 nt
Organism: Heterocephalus glaber (naked mole-rat)
Lineage: Eukaryota; Metazoa; Chordata; Mammalia; Rodentia; Bathyergidae
Source: Ensembl